GCAGCAGUGGGGAUAUUGCACAAUGGGCGCAAGCCUGAUGCAGCGACGCCGCGUGGGGGAUGAAGGCCUUCGGGUUGUAAACUCCUUUCAGCCAUGACGAAGCUGGCCUUGUUGGGUCAGUGACGGUAGUGGUAGAAGAAGCACCGGCUAACUACGUGCCAGCAGCCGCGGUAAUACGUAGGGUGCGAGCGUUGUCCGGAAUUACUGGGCGUAAAGAGCUCGUAGGUGGUUUGUCACGUCGUCUGUGAAAUUCCGGGGCUUAACUCCGGGCGUGCAGGCGAUACGGGCAUAACUUGAGUACUGUAGGGGAGACUGGAAUUCCUGGUGUAGCGGUGAAAUGCGCAGAUAUCAGGAGGAACACCGAUGGCGAAGGCAGGUCUCUGGGCAGUUACUGACGCUGAGGAGCGAAAGCAUGGGUAGCGAACAGGAUUAGAUACCCUGGUAGUCCAUGCCGUAAACGGUGGGCGCUAGGUGUGGGGGUCUUCCACGACUUCCGUGCCGUAGCUAACGCAUUAAGCGCCCCGCCUGGGGAGUACGGCCGCAAGGCUAAAACUCAAAGGAAUUGACGGGGGCCC
RNAcentral lists this ribosomal RNA (575 nucleotides) under Corynebacterium sp. RNAcentral describes it as "bacterial SSU rRNA". It matches the Rfam family "Bacterial small subunit ribosomal RNA", at positions 348 to 922 of the family's 1533-position model. Lineage: Bacteria; Bacillati; Actinomycetota; Actinomycetes; Mycobacteriales; Corynebacteriaceae. The record is from RNAcentral.